This 480-nucleotide ribosomal RNA is filed under the name uncultured bacterium. RNAcentral's name for it is "bacterial SSU rRNA". It matches the Rfam family "Bacterial small subunit ribosomal RNA", at positions 29 to 506 of the family's 1533-position model. The record is from RNAcentral.
UUGAACGCUGGCGGAAUGCUUUACACAUGCAAGUCGAGCGGCAGCGCGGGGCAACCUGGCGGCGAGCGGCGAACGGGUGAGUAAUAUAUCGGAACGUACCCUGUCGUGGGGGAUAACACAUCGAAAGAUGUGCUAAUACCGCAUCCGACCUGAGGGUGAAAGCGGGGGAUCGCAAGACCUCGCGCGAUAGGAGCGGCCGAUAUCGGAUUAGCUAGUUGGUGAGGUAAAGGCUCACCAAGGCGACGAUCCGUAGCUGGUCUGAGAGGACGACCAGCCACACUGGAACUGAGACACGGUCCAGACUCCUACGGGAGGCAGCAGUGGGGAGUUUUGGACAAUGGGGGAAACCCUGAUCCAGCCAUGCCGCGUGAGUGAAGAAGGCCUUCGGGUUGUAAAGCUCUUUCGGCAGGAACGAAACGGUGGAGGCUAAUACCUUGCAUCAAUGACGGUACCUGAAGAAGAAGCACCGGCUAACUACGU